Molecule: ribosomal RNA, 1418 nt
Filed under: metagenome
Description: bacterial SSU rRNA
Rfam family: Bacterial small subunit ribosomal RNA
Source: RNAcentral
AGAGUUUGAUCCUGGCUCAGGAUGAACGCUAGCGGCAGGCCUAACACAUGCAAGUCGUGGGGUAACAGUUCCUUCGGGAAGCUGACGACCGGCGCACGGGUGAGUAACGCGUAUGCAAUCUGCCUGUAACAGGAAGAUAGCCCGGAGAAAUCCGGAUUAAUAUUCCAUAAUACUUUAAAGAGGCAUCUCUUUAAUUUUAAAGCUUCGGCGGUUACAGAUGAGCAUGCGUGCCAUUAGUUAGUUGGUAGGGUAACGGCCUACCAAGGCUACGAUGGCUACGGGGUCUUAAAGGAUGGUCCCGCACACUGGUACUGAGACACGGACCAGACUCCUACGGGAGGCAGCAGUGAGGAAUAUUGGGCAAUGGAGGCAACUCUGACCCAGCCAUGCCGCGUGCAGGAUGACGGCCUUAUGGGUUGUAAACUGCUUUUCUACGGGAAGAAAAUGUUUUACGUGUAAAACACUGACGGUACCGUAGGAAUAAGCAUCGGCUAACUCCGUGCCAGCAGCCGCGGUAAUACGGAGGAUGCAGGCGUUAUCCGGAUUUAUUAGGUUUAAAGGGUGCGUAGGCGGAAAUUUAAGUCAGUGGUGAAAUCCUACAGCUUAACUGUAGAACUGCCAUUGAUACUGAAUUUCUUGAGUACGGUUGAGGUAGGCGGAAUGUGUAGUGUAGCGGUGAAAUGCAUAGAUAUUACACAGAACACCAAUUGCGAAGGCAGCUUACUAAGCCGUUACUGACGCUGAUUCACGAAAGCGUGGGGAGCGAACAGGAUUAGAUACCCUGGUAGUCCACGCCGUAAACGAUGAUUACUCGUUGUUGGCGAUACACAGUCAGCGACUGAGCGAAAGCAUUAAGUAAUCCACCUGGGGAGUACGUUCGCAAGAAUGAAACUCAAAGGAAUUGACGGGGGCCCGCACAAGCGGAGGAACAUGUGGUUUAAUUCGAUAAUACGCGAGGAACCUUACCUGGGCUUAAAUGCUAUGCACCGUCAGGUGUCACAUGCUGAAAGGUGUGUUUAAAAUUGCAAGGUGCUGCAUGGCUGUCGUCAGCUCGUGCCGUGAGGUGUCGGGUUAAGUCCCAUAACGAGCGCAACCCCUAUUCUUAGUUGCCAGCGGGUAAUGCCGGGGACUCUAAGGAGACUGCCACCGUAAGGUGUGAGGAAGGUGGGGAUGACGUCAAGUCAGCACGGCCCUUACGUCCAGGGCUACACACGUGUUACAAUGGUCGGUACAAAGGGCAGCUACCUGGCAACAGGAUGCUAAUCUCAAAAACCGGUCUUAGUUCGGAUCGAAGUCUGCAACUCGACUUCGUGAAGUUGGAUUCGCUAGUAAUCGUAUAUCAGCAAUGAUACGGUGAAUACGUUCCCGGGCCUUGUACACACCGCCCGUCAAGCCAUGGGAGCCGGGGGUACCUGAAG